CAUUAGAAAGCUGUAAGGGUUCAGCAUUAGCCUUUUAAGCUAAAAGUUGGUGGCUCCCAACCACCUCUAGUGA
Molecule: transfer RNA, 73 nt
Filed under: Paracheirodon axelrodi (cardinal tetra)
Lineage: Eukaryota; Metazoa; Chordata; Actinopteri; Characiformes; Acestrorhamphidae
Description: tRNA-Lys
Rfam family: tRNA
About the family: Transfer RNA (tRNA) molecules are approximately 80 nucleotides in length.
Source: RNAcentral